This 490-nucleotide ribosomal RNA is filed under the name uncultured bacterium. Its description in RNAcentral is "partial 16S ribosomal RNA". It matches the Rfam family "Bacterial small subunit ribosomal RNA", at positions 30 to 507 of the family's 1533-position model. The record is from RNAcentral.
AUUGAACGCUGGCGGCAGGCCUAACACAUGCAAGUCGAACGGUAACAGGAAGAAGCUUGCUUCUUUGCUGACGAGUGGCGGACGGGUGAGUAAUGUCUGGGAAACUGCCUGAUGGAGGGGGAUAACUACUGGAAACGGUAGCUAAUACCGCAUAACGUCGCAAGACCAAAGAGGGGGACCUUCGGGCCUCUUGCCAUCGGAUGUGCCCAGAUGGGAUUAGCUAGUAGGUGGGGUAACGGCUCACCUAGGCGACGAUCCCUAGCUGGUCUGAGAGGAUGACCCGCGACACUGGAACUGAGACACGGUCCAGACUCCUACGGGAGGCAGCAGUGGGGAAUAUUGCACAGUGGGCGCAAGCCUGAUGCAGCCAUGCCGCGUGUAUGGAGAAGGCCUUCGGGUUGUAAAGUACUUUCAGCGGGGAGGAAGGGAGUAAAGUUAAUACCUUUACUCAUUGACGUUACCCGCAGAAGAAGCACCGGCUAACUCCGUG